RNAcentral lists this ribosomal RNA (141 nucleotides) under uncultured eukaryote. Its description in RNAcentral is "partial 18S ribosomal RNA". It matches the Rfam family "Eukaryotic small subunit ribosomal RNA", at positions 1299 to 1455 of the family's 1831-position model. The record is from RNAcentral.
UGGUGGAGUGAUUUGUCUGGUUAAUUCCGAUAACGAACGAGACCUUGGCCUGCUAAAUAGACCGGUCGAUCUUUGAUUGGCAUUAUGGGUCUUCUUAGAGGGACUAUAUGCGUCUAGCAUAUGGAAGCACGAGUCAAAACA